Molecule: ribosomal RNA, 429 nt
Filed under: Bacteroidota bacterium
Lineage: Bacteria; Pseudomonadati; Bacteroidota
Description: Bacteroidetes bacterium partial 16S ribosomal RNA
Rfam family: Bacterial small subunit ribosomal RNA
Source: RNAcentral
UAGGGAAUCUUCGGCAAUGGGGGGAACCCUGACCGAGCAACGCCGCGUGAGUGAAGAAGGUUUUCGGAUCGUAAAGCUCUGUUGUUAAGGAAGAACGAGUGUGAGAAUUGAAAGUUCAUGCUGUGACGGUACUUAACCAGAAAGGGACGGCUAACUACGUGCCAGCAGCCGCGGUAAUACGUAGGUCCCGAGCGUUGUCCGGAUUUAUUGGGCGUAAAGCGAGCGCAGGCGGUUAGAUAAGUCUGAAGUUAAAGGCAGUGGCUCAACCAUUGUAGGCUUUGGAAACUGUUUAACUUGAGUGCAGAAGGGGAGAGUGGAAUUCCAUGUGUAGCGGUGAAAUGCGUAGAUAUAUGGAGGAACACCGGUGGCGAAAGCGGCUCUCUGGUCUGUAACUGACGCUGAGGCUCGAAAGCGUGGGGAGCGAACAGG